UUUCCGUAGGUGAACCUGCGGAAGGAUCAUUCAUAAUAAAGUGUUUUAUGGCACUUUUUAAAAAUCCAUAUCCACCUUGUGUGCAAUGUUAGAUCUCGUCAAUCUUGGCGAGAUUUUUAUACAUCAACUCAUUUUUUAACUAAUUUGUCUGAAAAAUAUUAUGAAUACUUAAUUCAAAAUACAACUUUCAACAACGGAUCUCUUGGCUCUCGCAUCGAUGAGAACGCAGC
RNAcentral lists this unclassified non-coding RNA (230 nucleotides) under plant metagenome. Its description in RNAcentral is "partial contains small subunit ribosomal RNA, internal transcribed spacer 1, and 5.8S ribosomal RNA". The stretch from base 183 to 230 matches the Rfam family "5.8S ribosomal RNA", at positions 1 to 49 of the family's 154-position model. The record is from RNAcentral.